AGUGAACGCUGGCGGUAUGCCUAACACAUGCAAGUCGAACGGCAGCACAUUAAAAUCUUGCUCUUACGGUUGGCGAGUGGCGGACGGGUAAGGAAUGCAUCAGAAUCUUCUUUUUCGUGGGGGAUAACUUAGGGCAACUUAUGCUAAUACCUCAUACGAUCUACGGGUGAAAUCAGGUGUUAUUCAUACCUUUCCCUAUUUAAUGGGUCGAUGUCGGAUUAGCUAGUUGGCUGGGUAAAGGCCCACAAAGGCGACGAUCCGUAGCUGGUCUGACAGGAUGAUCAGCAACACUGGACCUGAGAAACGCUCAAGACUCCACGGGGGGGAAGAAGUGGGGAAUAUUGGACAAUGGGCGAAAGCCUGAUCAAGAAAUACCGGGUGGGUAAAGAAGGCCUUCGGGUUGUAAAGUCCUUUUGUUGGGAAAGAAAAGCAGCAGGUUAAUAACCCGCUGUACUGACGGUACCCACAGAAUAAGCAACGGCUAACUUCGUG
Molecule: ribosomal RNA, 492 nt
Filed under: uncultured bacterium
Lineage: Bacteria
Description: partial 16S ribosomal RNA
Rfam family: Bacterial small subunit ribosomal RNA
Source: RNAcentral